Molecule: ribosomal RNA, 223 nt
Filed under: Staphylococcus succinus
Lineage: Bacteria; Bacillati; Bacillota; Bacilli; Caryophanales; Staphylococcaceae
Description: partial 16S ribosomal RNA
Rfam family: Bacterial small subunit ribosomal RNA
Source: RNAcentral
GGGAGGCAGCAGUAGGGAAUCUUCCGCAAUGGGCGAAAGCCUGACGGAGCAACGCCGCGUGAGUGAUGAAGGUUUUCGGAUCGUAAAACUCUGUUAUUAGGGAAGAACAAAUGCGUAAGUAACUGUGCGCAUCUUGACGGUACCUAAUCAGAAAGCCACGGCUAACUACGUGCCAGCAGCCGCGGUAAUACGUAGGUGGCAAGCGUUAUCCGGAAUUAUUGGG